This 910-nucleotide ribosomal RNA is filed under the name Halobacillus sp. JC 377. Its description in RNAcentral is "bacterial SSU rRNA". It matches the Rfam family "Bacterial small subunit ribosomal RNA", at positions 56 to 931 of the family's 1533-position model. The record is from RNAcentral. Lineage: Bacteria; Bacillati; Bacillota; Bacilli; Caryophanales; Bacillaceae.
UGCAGUCGAGCGCGGGAGCGAGCGGAUCCCCUUCGGGGGUGACGCUCGUGGAACGAGCGGCGGACGGGUGAGUAACACGUGGGCAACCUGCCUGUAAGACCGGAAUAACCCCGGGAAACCGGGGCUAAUGCCGGGUAACACUUUCCUCCGCAUGGAGGAGAGUUGAAAGAUGGCUUUUAGCUAUCACUUACAGAUGGGCCCGCGGCGCAUUAGCUAGUUGGUGAGGUAACGGCUCACCAAGGCGACGAUGCGUAGCCGACCUGAGAGGGUGAUCGGCCACACUGGGACUGAGACACGGCCCAGACUCCUACGGGAGGCAGCAGUAGGGAAUCUUCCGCAAUGGACGAAAGUCUGACGGAGCAACGCCGCGUGAACGAUGAAGGUCUUCGGAUCGUAAAGUUCUGUUGUUAGGGAAGAACAAGUACCGUGCGAAUAGAGCGGUACCUUGACGGUACCUAACGAGGAAGCCCCGGCUAACUACGUGCCAGCAGCCGCGGUAAUACGUAGGGGGCAAGCGUUGUCCGGAAUUAUUGGGCGUAAAGCGCGCGCAGGCGGUUUCUUAAGUCUGAUGUGAAAGCCCACGGCUCAACCGUGGAGGGUCAUUGGAAACUGGGGAACUUGAGGACAGAAGAGGAGAGUGGAAUUCCACGUGUAGCGGUGAAAUGCGUAGAUAUGUGGAGGAACACCAGUGGCGAAGGCGACUCUCUGGUCUGUCUCUGACGCUGAGGUGCGAAAGCGUGGGUAGCAAACAGGAUUAGAUACCCUGGUAGUCCACGCCGUAAACGAUGAGUGCUAGGUGUUAGGGGGCUUCCACCCCUUAGUGCUGAAGUUAACGCAUUAAGCACUCCGCCUGGGGAGUACGGCCGCAAGGGCUGAAACUCAAAGGAAUUGACGGGGGCCCGCACAAGCG